RNAcentral lists this ribosomal RNA (428 nucleotides) under uncultured organism. RNAcentral's name for it is "bacterial SSU rRNA". It matches the Rfam family "Bacterial small subunit ribosomal RNA", at positions 355 to 775 of the family's 1533-position model. The record is from RNAcentral.
UGGGGAAUUUUGGACAAUGGGGGGAACCCUGAUCCAGCCAUCCCGCGUGUAUGAUGAAGGCCUUCGGGUUGUAAAGUACGUUUGACAGGGAAGAAACGACACCACCUAAUACGUGGUGUUAAUGACGGUACCUGUAGAACAAGCACCGGCUAACUACGUGCCAGCAGCCGCGGUAAUACGCAGGGUGCAAGCGUUCAUCGGAAUUACUCGGCUUCAAGGGUUCGCAGGCGGCUAGGAAAGAAGGAUGUGCAAUCUCAGGGCUCAACCUUGGAACUGCAUUCUUAACUGCCUAGCUAGAGUAUGUCAGAGGGGGGUAGAAUUCCACGUGUAGCAGUGAAAUGCGUAGAUAUGUGGAGGAAUACCGAUGGCGAAGGCAGCCCCCUGGGAUAAUACUGACGCUCAGGUACGAAGGCGUGGGGAGCAAACAG